Molecule: ribosomal RNA, 253 nt
Filed under: uncultured bacterium
Lineage: Bacteria
Description: partial 16S ribosomal RNA
Rfam family: Bacterial small subunit ribosomal RNA
Source: RNAcentral
UACGUAGGGUGCGAGCGUUACUCGGAAUUACUGGGCGUAAAGCGUGCGCAGGCGGUUCGUUAAGUCAGCUGUGAAAGCCCCGGGCUUAACCUGGGAAUUGCGGUUGAAACUGGCGAACUAGAAUCUGGCAGAGGGGGGUGGAAUUCCACGUGUAGCAGUGAAAUGCGUAGAGAUGUGGAGGAACACCGAUGGCGAAGGCAGCCCCCUGGGCUGAGAUUGACGCUCAGGCACGAAAGCGUGGGGAGCAAACAGG